This 472-nucleotide ribosomal RNA is filed under the name uncultured bacterium. Its description in RNAcentral is "partial 16S ribosomal RNA". It matches the Rfam family "Bacterial small subunit ribosomal RNA", at positions 28 to 507 of the family's 1533-position model. The record is from RNAcentral.
GACGAACGCUGGCGGCGUGCUUAACACAUGCAAGUCGAACGCUGAAGCUUGGUGCUUGCACUGGGCGGAUGAGUGGCGAACGGGUGAGUAAUACGUGUGUAACCUGCCCUUGACUCUGGGAUAAGCCUGGGAAACUGGGUCUAAUACUGGAUACGACAUGUCACCGCAUGGUGGUGUGUGGAAUGGGUUUUACUGGUUUUGGAUGGGCUCACGGCCUAUCAGCUUGUUGGUGGGGUAAUGGCUCACCAAGGCGACGACGGGUAGCCGGCCUGAGAGGGUGACCGGCCACACUGGGACUGAGACACGGCCCAGACUCCUACGGGAGGCAGCAGUGGGGAAUAUUGCACAAUGGGCGGAAGCCUGAUGCAGCGACGCCGCGUGAGGGAUGACGGCCUUCGGGUUGUAAACCUCUUUCAGCACGGAAGAAGCGAAAGUGACGGUACGUGCAGAAGAAGCGCCGGCUAACUACGUG